This 1329-nucleotide transfer RNA is filed under the name Ursus maritimus (polar bear). Its description in RNAcentral is "lncRNA (ENSUMAG00000015786.1)". Lineage: Eukaryota; Metazoa; Chordata; Mammalia; Carnivora; Ursidae. The record is from RNAcentral.
AAGUGAAGUCUAGGAUUUUUUUUUUUUUUUCUUUCCCUGUUUCUUUAGACAAGCAUGCCAGGUGGUGCUGGGAGCUCUCUUACUACACAUUGAAAAUUUCGUCUUAGAGAGCUCAGCAUAGACAUUGACACACGUGCCUGACCGAAUCUUGUACUUGCUGACCGUACAGUGUGGUUAUAGCCUCGUGGGCGCAGGGAAGAUGUGCUUUCAGUGUUGCCACUUCUCCUCUCCAGUUUGUCACCCCUCAGAAGAGUGGUAGGAAGAUGACUACUGCUCCAGAAAAUAAAGGAGAGGAAAAAAAGCCUCUAGCUCCUGUGUUUGCUGAGAAACUAAUAUCACCACACAGGAAGGCAGCCACAUGGGCCCUGUUGCCAAAAGACAGGAGUGCCAAGUUCAAUGACCAUGAGAGGAGACAUGGGAGCUGUGAGGAGGAAGAAGAUAAGAACGCUGAGUUGGGCCAGGAUAAGGAAGGUGAUGAAUCCUCUUCUGGGGGCAGCCCUGCCUGCCAUUCCACAUGGAUGCUCGACGGGUUCUGUGAAGAUCCCACCCUGCAGAAAGUUGCCUUGGCAAUCCCUGGCUGACUUUUCAGGCAUGGCCUCGUGCAUGAGGAAUCUCAGUGGACCUUUGACCUCUGCUGUCCACAUGACCAGAAUCAGAGUUUUCUGUGAAUAUCAUCCAUUAAUUGUUUCUGUCAUGGUGCAUAUGAGCCAUGCAGAGCCUGUCAAAAAAACACCUGAUAAAUGGAAGAAGGAGAUGGCAGAAGACUUCCCCGGAAACCAAAAGAUAGAAAUUGGAAGGUAAUAUCUGCACCCAACGUGGGGCUCAAACUCACAACCCUGAGAUCAAGAGUUGCAUGCUCCACUGACUGAGCCAGCCAGGUGCCCCUAUUUUGAGGGAAUUCGUAGUGAGGUGCAGCUUGCAUAUCAGGAUUACAGGUACAUUUGAGUGAAAAUAGUUGGUGUAGGUGAACUCUAAAAUAGUCUCUACCUGUGUAUUCUGAGUAACGUAGUCUCUGGAAAAGAAUCCUGCCAAUUCAGAAAACAAGUCUGAAAGGAUAAAUCCCAUAUUGUUAGCAAUUUGCUAUUGUCAGUGUUUCCUGUGAGGAGAUUUGGGGGCUCUCUGUUAUGCUUGUAGUCAGCACUGCUGGAAAAUGACAAAACAAAAAAUUGCUGCCCAAAGACAUUGAAUUUCUGUAAUGUUAAUUAAGUUUUGAUUACAUAUACUUAAGACUUUAGAAUCAUUCCUUUACAUGAGAAAUUAUUACAGAGGGGAGUUAGGAGAUGCCAGGGAAUCCAUGACCAUGUUAAAUAAAGCAUAAUACCUAUGUCA